AAGAGAAGGAGAGUACACUUUUAAUGAAUGCGUAGUUGGGGGAUGACCCUGCUGAUUCCAAACAAAUUUUGCUUCCUCAGAAGAUACUGCCGCUGUUGCCAUUUCCUGAGGAUGUUGGAGGUGAAUCCCAGCAGCUGGUCGAAGAUGGUGCACAGAUACCGGUAGUCCAUGACGACCUCCACUGAUCUUCCGCGGAUGGUUGUGGUGACUGCUGCAGCCAAUUCCCGCUGCUUUUUGGAAAAUGUCAUCAUCUCCUUGGUCUUUUUCAUGUUCAUUUGAAAAAACAGGAGCUGGAGUACAUUUAAGCAGAGCGACUGAAUACAUUUACAUUGCUGCUAUACUUAGGUACAUAUUCUCAUAUCUGUACUUCAUUCUUAUAGCUGUACUCCAUUACAUCGUACAGCAACUAUUUUAUUUUUAUUUAACUACAUUUAUGCAUGGCACUGGAAUUUUACCACUUGCUGACUAUUAUGUAUAAUAGCAUGACUUGUAUUUCCAUCAAAGCAUGCGCAAGAACGCAACAGGUGUUUGACAUCAGAAGCUGAGCUAGUUUCAGACAGUGACAAAACCGGAUUCAUAAUCAGGAAGAAGUGUGUUAGUGUGUGUGUGUGUGUGUGUGCGUGCGUGCGUGCGUGUAUGUGUGUGCAUGCAUGUGCGUGUGUGUGUGUGUGUGAAAGAGAAAGAGAGAGUGUUUUUUUUUUUGUGACAAAGGCUACUGUAAGCUUAAUGCCCUCUACAUUUGAUACUUAAGUAAAUCCAAAGGGAAGUGCUUUUCUAGAAAAUCCCCAAGCUGUAUCCCCAGCAUUUGCUACUGAGAAAGUUGCCAUGGUGUCAGCAUGGUGUUGCCGAGUAUUGUCCAGAUUGGGCCCUGACCUUGCAUAUGCUGUAGAAGGUAAGAGGCACAUCGCUCAGGCUACAGGCUUCCUCGAUGAAGAGCAGUGAAGCAUCAUGCGCAGAUAUUCCCUUCAGCUCUCUGUGCAGGGCUGGAGUGUGCUG
This is a long non-coding RNA of Clarias gariepinus (North African catfish), 996 nucleotides long. RefSeq lists it as uncharacterized. The transcript is spliced from 3 exons. Lineage: Eukaryota; Metazoa; Chordata; Actinopteri; Siluriformes; Clariidae. The record is from RefSeq and is a predicted model, not a curated record.